RNAcentral lists this ribosomal RNA (689 nucleotides) under uncultured bacterium. RNAcentral describes it as "bacterial SSU rRNA". It matches the Rfam family "Bacterial small subunit ribosomal RNA", at positions 66 to 771 of the family's 1533-position model. The record is from RNAcentral.
GCUUGCUAGGAGCAGAGAUGUUGUUAACUUAGUGGCGGACGGGUGAGUAACGCGUGGGUAACCUGCCGUAUACAGGGGGAUAACACUUAGAAAUAGGUGCUAAAACCGCAUAAGCGCACAGUUCCGCAUGGAAUGGUGUGAAAAACUCCGGUGGUAUACGAUGGACCCGCGUCUGAUUAGCCAGUUGGCAGGGUAACGGCCUACCAAAGCGACGAUCAGUAGCCGGCCUGAGAGGGCGGACGGCCACAUUGGGACUGAGACACGGCCCAAACUCCUACGGGAGGCAGCAGUGGGGGAUAUUGCACAAUGGGGGAAACCCUGAUGCAGCGACGCCGCGUGAGUGAAGAAGUAUUUCGGUAUGGAAAGCUCUAUCAGCAGGGAAGAAAAUGACAGUACCUGAGUAAGAAGCCCCGGCUAACUACGUGCCAGCAGCCGCGGUAAUACGUAGGGGGCAAGCGUUAUCCGGAUUUACUGGGUGUAAAGGGAGCGUAGACGGUUAUGUAAGUCUGAAGUGAAAGCCCGGGGCCCAACCCCGGGACUGCUUUGGAAACUGUGUAACUAGAGUACAGGAGGGGCAGGCGGAAUUCCUGGUGUAGCGGUGAAAUGCGUAGAUAUCAGGAGGAACACCGGCGGCGAAGGCGGCCUGCUGGACUGAAACUGACGUUGAGGCUCGAAAGCGUGGGGAGCAA